Molecule: long non-coding RNA, 231 nt
Filed under: Nicotiana benthamiana
Lineage: Eukaryota; Viridiplantae; Streptophyta; Magnoliopsida; Solanales; Solanaceae
Description: long non-coding RNA (NBEN_LNC030651)
Source: RNAcentral
AUGGAACACUUAAACCAUUGUGAUCCCCUUUGAAUGCAAUUACCCUUGAUUCUGAAGGUUGUGAUGGUUGUUGUCUCUGUUGAAGCCUUGUUUUUUCUUCUGACACAACCAUAGGCCUUAUAGCUGGUUCAUCUUCUAGUUCCGGAUGCUCAAAAGCAGUAGCACAACUUGAAGUCUCCCUAUAGACCCUUGGUGUAGGCAUGAAAACAAACUCUGGGCCUUGACUUGCUU